RNAcentral lists this unclassified non-coding RNA (299 nucleotides) under plant metagenome. RNAcentral describes it as "partial contains 5.8S ribosomal RNA, internal transcribed spacer 2, and large subunit ribosomal RNA". The stretch from base 1 to 105 matches the Rfam family "5.8S ribosomal RNA", at positions 50 to 154 of the family's 154-position model. The record is from RNAcentral.
GAAAUGCGAUAUGUAAUGUGAAUUGCAGAAUUCAGUGAAUCAUCGAAUCUUUGAACGCACAUUGCGCCCCCUGGUAUUCCGGGGGGCAUGCCUGUUCGAGCGUCAUUUCACCACUCAAGCCUCGCUUGGUAUUGGGCGACGCGGUCCGCCGCGCGCCUCAAAUCGACCGGCUGGGUCUUCCGUCCCCUCAGCGUUGUGGAAACUAUUCGCUAAAGGGUGCCGCGGGAGGUCACGCCGCAAAACAACCCCAUUUCUAAGGUUGACCUCGGAUCAGGUAGGGAUACCCGCUGAACUUAAGC